AACUAUUCUUUUCCAUCCCGCUUAAUAGUCUGGUCAUAUAAGCGUAUUACCUCCUUUUUCCAGUUCUCUUCUUCCUCUCUCUUUCCCUACUUGGUAGGAGUAAUUUUUUAAAAAAUUCUAUAUCUCUUUGAUGGUGAGUGUUUCUACAAUUUUCUUCGUUCAUUGCACUUUUUUGGAUAUAUGUUAGUUUCAGCUCUCAGUUCUGAGGGAUCAGCUGAAAUAACCAAUGCCCUAAGUGAUGAUUCAGGUGUACUUAAUUUGUGAUUGUAGGUUUCCAGCCUUCAUAGGAUUGCUGGCACCAUGGAAAGUUAGUCAACUUCGCUCCACAAAAUAGUAGUAUUUGUCAGAUCCAUCACAAUUGAUCUUUGUUAGGAUCAGCAAUAUGAGAUGAUUAUAUAAUAAGCUUGCAGAGAGUCUUAGUCUCAAUUUUAUGCAGUGUAAUGUCUAUGUACGGUAUUUAAGCCUGAAAUUAUCAGUAAUCUUUAGCAGCUUGAAAAUCACAAUGAAGAGAACUUGGUUAAAAAUGUUCCUAUAAGUAACUAUGCAAAUUGAUUUAUAGUUUAUCAAUUAGUUCAACUUCUACAAUCAAUGCAAGAAAAUUAGGCAGUCGAAUGAGAUGCUUAGCAACAAAUUACAGUAGCUUUUCUAUAAGGGCCUUUAUUGCUUAUCUGCGAAUACACUUAGGAUCACAAAUUUAUAAUCAGUUCCACAAACGAGCCAUAAAUAUUUAUGUUACCUUCUUGAAAAAAAGGAGGUAUGAAGAUUUUCCAUGACUUCAUAUUUCAGGUUAGUUCUUGACAUAGUCUAAUGAAAGAUGGUAACAUCGUAGCCUUCCAGUUGUGAGAGUGCACAAAAGAUUAAGGACGACCAAAUCUCUCCCUCCCUCCCUCCCUCUCUCCGUGGAUAUUUACUUAGUUUCUCCCAUGUGAACUCUUUCCUACAUGCUAUCUGGUUUGGUAUCGUCAAAAAAUAUACACAAUAAACAAUUAAACAUCACAGUUAGUAUGGUAGGAUAGAUUAUCAAACAUUAUAGUGAAUAUAGCUUGUAAUAUUUAUGUACAUUAACCAAUAUUGUAGGGAUAACUUUCAAAGGAGAUACUUAAAAUGAAUUUAUUCUGCAAAACUUUGCAUUUGAACUUGUGUAUAGGUGUUUUGUGCAUCUGUAAGUUUUUAAGUUGGUAUGACAUCAAAUGACAAUGGAUUGUACAACUAUGAGCUCGUAUUUUCUACUGCCCUUAUGCUAAGUAUAGUGAAUUUAAUGCUAAAAACCUAUUCCCCUGAUUUCAAACACAUACUUUUCUGGAAAGCUAAAGAACGAUAAUCCUGUUGACAAGAACGUCGCAGCAUUUUUCAUGAGUUGAUGGAGUAAUUGCUCUCGUGACGGGAGAUUCUUUUUUCGUUUCUACACAAGGUUAGAAUGUUAAAUUUGUUGUUUGUCUAAACAAGAUUGAUAGUUUUUCGACUAACAAGCUCUCCACGGAAUAGGCAACUUGAGAGACUUUUUCUGUUAUAUCCUUUUACACUUGAAAUCUUUUCUAUUGAUUAUUUAUAGUUAGUGUAUAUUCUUUUCAGUUAGAGAAAUGAAAGCUUUUCUAUUGAUUAUUUUAUAGUUAGUAUAUAUUCUUUUUUGUUAGAGGAAUAAUGUACUGCGGGAGCUUUAACGUUUUAAGCAUUUCUUGGCAUUACUACAGAAGGAGGUAACGAAAUAUUUUUCUAAGCUUUUUUUCUGUCAAAAUUUUGCUUAGAGGUCGAAACCUUAAAUGUUCUACCUUAUCAAAGAUGAAACCUUGAAUGUUUCUGUUGGAGAUUUACAGAAGAUUUCUGUAGUAAGACAUGACCUAUCUGUGCAUGAAUAAUUUUCUUUUUGUAUGAUGUAUGUGCUUGACAUGAAUUGACAUUUGAAUUUGUUCAAGGCAUGAGCUAUGGUCUAAAAGUAACAAUUUGAGCAAAAAACAGAAUCCUUAUAAGUGAUAAUUACAUGUAACCAGUUGCUUAUACUAUUCAAUAUUUGUGGUUGUGGACGUUAGAGUUCUAUGGAUGUAAAACUCCUUAAGGUGAGAAAGCUUAUUGAAUAUUGUUCAAUUUAGCACUAACGAAUUUCCUGUUGGCUUACUCAGUACUAUACAUACAUGUCAAGUAUCACCUGAUUUGUCAUAUUACAAUUAUGAGUUAAUGACACUUGGUUCUGUUACAUGAUAACAUGAUAUGAAUGAAAGGAAAAUAAGUUCAAUUUUUCAUAUUAACUGUAUUUCCAUGUUAUGUUUAAGAGAUUACAGAGGAUGUCUCUAUGAUGCCACAUAAAGUUAAAACUUACAGUUUUCUCUCUUUGAUGUCUGGGAUAGGAUUUUGUCGUUAAAUUUCCUUUGUAGGAAAGCACUAUUCUUUGACUAUCUAUUUUGCAUUUAGCAGAGUUGUUUGAAGGCUACAAUCAAAUUGUGGCUGAAAGGAAAUUCACAUAUGAACCUAUUGGCCAGUAUUAUGGGAAUCAGAAGCGAAGACGUAUUGUGAGCUUUGUGGUCAAAUAAGUUUGUGGAGAAACUUGGAGAAAAAAAGUUACAGGAAGAUUGAUUCUUCUGUAUUCAAAUGGACUCAAUGAUUUGGUAAAAUCUAUUUCCUUCUUAACAUGUGUAACAACCUCUCUCUCCGUAUUGCAUGUACCGAUGAGUUGAAGAACUAGAAGUGGAAAAGAUUAAGAGGUUUAUUAAUUUGUGUUCGGAAAGUGAUAAUUAUGUUGGCCAGUUUAACAUUGUUAUUAAUCUUAGAUACUAAUUGUUUUUUAUGUUUAAUGAAACAUACAAAGAAUGAGCUUGCACUAAAUUAUAAUCAUUCAAGAAUAGUUAUUCCUCCGACUGCUCCUUGUGAUGCAGCAAACCAUUGCGGCUAAAUUGCCAAAUGCAUUAGACACUCUUAAAGCUCGAGACUCUAGAAUCCUGAGGACAUGGUUAUGUGUUCCUUCUGAGCAAAGUUCACGAGUACAACAUGAUAGAAAUAAUAGAACUAUAGAAGAAAGAUGAAUAUUCUUGCUUGGUUAAGAAGAGUGAGUUAACUGAGAAAUUUUUUAAUUUUAAUUUCUAUAAGAAGCGUUGUAUAUGCCAUCGCCACCAUAGUUUAAAAGAAACUAAAUACCUAACAAGUAGGCAUGUGCAUAAACUAAAUACCUAAUAUGUCGGCCCGUGCUAUGCACGGGCAUCACCUCUCUAGUUACUAAUAUAUAGAAACGGGACUUUGGUGGGACGAACAGGGGACAAACACAGGUAUACCUGAAAUUUAGUUUUAAAUUAGGGUUAAAUUAGUAAUUACGGUCAUUUCUAUAGAAACACAUGUGUUCCCUUUGUCCAUCCGUAUUCAUCUAUGUGUAGAACCCUAUUUUCUCUCAUUUUUUAUUUCAUUGUUCCUCUAUCCCAGUUUCUCAGUCUUCACUCUUUCAGCGAGGCUCUUCGCUUUGCGGUUUUUUUCUGCAAGCUACUAUUAAUUUGAGCAAACCAUGUGUACUGCACUUAUAUUCAACUAUAGUCUAUAGUAGUACUUCACAUCUUAGAAUUUCUCUCUCAUUUAGAAGACCAUCUCUGUUUGUGAGUAUCUUAACUUUCUUAUACUCUUUUCUGUUCUUCCAUCUUUUAAAUUGUAAAUUUUUUUGAUUGAUUGGUUUGUAGUUUCUUAUGUAGCUCUAUUGUACUUGUGAAUUUUGGUAGAUUCUACUUUAUUCUCCUUCUUUCUUUGUUGCACCCAUUUCUUGGUGAUGUGAUUUUGAUAGAUCCAGUUUGGUUUUCUUCCUAUCUUAGAUUUUUCUGUUAAAUUUCUUACAUGCAUGUUAGUAAUUUGUAUUUUGCUCACGAUUUUUCAAAAUAGAUACUUAGUGUAUAUGUUAGAAUACAUAUUUAUUUCUGAUUUAUAGCUAAGAAAUUAGCAAAUUUUGGAGUGAGGCGGCUUUUAAGGGGAGUAGUCCUUGUCAAUGACUACUAUUUUUAGGUGCUACAUUAUUUCAAUUUCGGCUUUAUUCUGGAGAAAUUUAACUCCUGCUAUCAGCUCCUAUAAAAAUAACCACGAAAUAUGUUAGAUGAUUAUUUUUUAUCUUUUAAGGGAAUUUGAAACAACAGACAUAGUUUAGUCACUCCUACCGGUUCUGAAUAUGAGAGGACUCUUUUUUGGUCCACAUAAGAGAUACUACUACAUGAAUAGAACAAAUGUUAGAUAAGUGGAUCUGUUGAUGCUAUGCGAUUGAGAAUUUGUUGGUAAAGUUCAUGAGAUAUUUGUGCUUCGACUAACUCCAGUUCAAGGAAGAAUACAGUGUAGUUUGCAAUGACAAUAAACUUAGACUUGAUAUUUAAGGUAGGCUUUCUAUGACUUAAAUAUGUAUGUCAGUUUUUUCUAAUUCUAAAUUAUUCUAUGUAAAAUAUAAUUUAUUGUAAACUAAAGAAAUCAUUUUAUUGGAAAUAUUUUUUAUUGUCGUUUGUCUUAUUUAUAUGUGCAACAUGUAGACUGAUAUAACAAUCAUGGUGUCAAGUUAAUGGUUAUUAUUGUUCAGGCAGAAAUCUUGAAUCCAAUAAUAUAUAUUAAAAAACUAUUAGAAGAAAGCUAAGUCAGUUGCUAAUAUUGAAUCUAGAAGUAAAGUAUUUUCUAUAUUUUUUAUUUCAAUACUAAAGUUGCAGCCUUUAUCCAAGAACAAUUGCUCAAUACAAAUACAACGCCAAAAUCAGUCACUACCCAUUAUCAGCACACAAAACAGAACUUUGAAGUUCUUUAUUCAAGAAAAAAAAACAUAUUCCCUGAUACAAAAGUGCAAGGUGAGCCUUUUAACACCACUGAUUGUUGUAGAUGUUAUCUGUUUUGUAGAAAUUCCCUGAAAUUGCAUGCAUGCCAAUUGUAGCUAUAUGAAAAUUUCUCUUUUAAUUUGCAGCAUUCUGUCUUUAAAUGUUACUUUUUUCCUGCACUAUGUUCAAUUGCUUUUCUGGAAUUUAUAGAGAAGUAAAAUUUGAAAAGUAGCAUGGCCUUUUUUCUGUUGCCAAAAUGAAAAAUGAUUAUGCUCCUCUAAGAAAGAGAUUGAUGCUCCUCUAACUGAUGGACAGGUGCCACUGAAAUCUAUCAUUCAAAAGAGGUAUAUUUUUUCUAUUUGUUACAUUAAGUUUAUUUGAAUUUGAUUGUGCAGCUAAUAUUAAAAUCGUGGAGCCUAAAUUUGUGUUUGAAGAUCAAACUGUUAAAAAUAACCAACUCUUGGGGUAGUUAAGCAUAUUGAAGUGGAAGUGCAGAUACACCUUGCACUUUUAAGUUUUUACUAAGAAAGGUAGUAGUGAUCAAAUACAAUUGUGGUCUUUAUUUUCAUGAUCAAUACAAUUGUUACCAAGUAUAAUAAAAGGUCUCACCUUACUUGAGUCUUUGAAUAUGGUGAACCAACUACUACUACUACUACUACAACAUCUGGUCUUUAGAUCUUUAGUGUGUUUAAUUUGGUGAUUGGAUUAUAAUUGAGGGUAGAUGUUGGCUUCAUGGAGCUCAGACCUUCUGAAAUUGCUGAAAUUGCAGCAACACUGGCAAUGUCUAUUUAGUCGUCCAGGGAAAAGCGAGCAAAAAAUAUAUUGAAAGGUUAAUGCAAUAACCUUACUUCCUCAUACAAGUACAAACAGUAAUUUUCUUUAGUCUUGAUUCUUGAGGUAUUGGUAUAUUCUCUGAUUUAUUUUUGGAGUCUCUGUCCUACAAUAAUGUGGUAGCAUGAAGCUAGUUUUGAACGUAAUAAGUUGGUUUUCUCUGAGACUAUCUUCUUUUAACUAUGUCUUAUAGCUCUUUAUUGGCUCUUUUUUGAUGGACUAUCUACAUUGAGCAUGUGCAUGUGAGACCCUGUCCUGUGAUUUGAUUUUAUGAAAUAUUGAUAAAUCUGACUCUCCCAAGUAGUGCUUUUUUCAAGAAAAGGAGAUUAAACUGAAAUGGACUUAAAUCUGAGGAUAUAAACAGAGUGAGACCGUAUUUCGAAAGUAAAUGAGAAAAAAAGCAUAAAGAAA
Molecule: long non-coding RNA, 5993 nt
Organism: Nicotiana tabacum (common tobacco)
Lineage: Eukaryota; Viridiplantae; Streptophyta; Magnoliopsida; Solanales; Solanaceae
Source: RefSeq, a predicted model, not a curated record